UUUCGGUCUCCAGUAUGCUUUAGCCAAUCACAGCCGUAGAGCUUGAUUGGCUUUUGUAUCUCCCAAUCAGAUUCCCAGCUUGCGCAUACCGCCAGCCUCAUCUUUGACGUCUGUGUGAUUGGAGUUUCUUUCGAUAUCGCUGUUGCCAAACGGACCGUACACUGGAGCAACCAUGGUGAAGAUAUUCAUCGGUAACCUCUCUCCAGAAACGACGAGAGAGGACAUUGAAGAGCUCUUUGUCAAAUACGGCAUAGUAACGGAAUGCGCGAAGUACAAAAACUAUGCGUUCGUCCACAUGGAAGACCGCAAGUCAGCCACCAAAGCUAUCCGUGAGCUCCAUCUGCACAAGCUGAACGGCAGGUCCAUCAAUGUGGAGCCCAGCAGAGGGAAGAACCAGGGUCCUGUCAAACUCCACAUUGCCAACGUUGAAAAGGGCUUUGAUAAAGAGCUGCGGGACCUGUUUGAGGAGUUCGGCACAGUCACGGAGUGCUCCAUUGUCAAGAACUUUGCAUUUGUUCACAUGCCUCAUUAUGAAGAGGCCAUGGAUGCCCUGGAGGGCCUGGAUAACUUAGAGUUUCAGGGAAAGCGUAUUCAUGUUCAGGUAUCAAAAAGCAGACCCAGAGGGGGUCCUGAGGAGGAGGAGGAACAAUAUCCACCCCCACCAGUUAGAGGAGGCUACUAUCCUCCAUAUUACCCAAUGCCAAGGCCUGAGCCCCCCUACAGAGGGCGCCUUUCUGCUUAUCCCCCUCCCCCACCUCCCCCUCCUCCCCUACCGCCACCUCCUCCUAUGAGACGAGCAGCAUACCCCGACCAUGGUUACAGUGACAGAGCGCCCUACGGGUCGGUGGAUUACUAUGAGAAGUACAGGGCCCGUCCUUUUACCGCGGCGACAAUCUACGACGAUAGGCGUGCCAUACCGCCUCCUCCGCCUCCUUCAUCGGCUCUGGUUAGAGAGCGCCUCGGGGCGACGCCGUCAGUCGACCCAUAUGAGCGCCGCGCCCUCCCGACCCCUGCUGCUUACGCCGCAAGGGACCGGAGCCCGAUAAGGAGAAUCCCCCCUCCACCUGCCCCGGCGGCUGGGAAUGGGUAUUCCUACGAGCGCUCUCGACUCUCGCCGAUGUCCAGGGCUCCAUUGUACGCGGCUCCCCGUACCAGGGAACCCUAUGCUGGGAGAGUUCCUCCCCCACUGCCACCUCGCUACACAGGCUAUUAGAGGGCCAUAGAGUUACGCAAGGUACUUAAACCGUCUACAGGAGAAGCUAGCCCUGGGUGAGUCAUCCCUGAUGCCCAGCAGGAGGACUCGGAAAACUCCCAUCGGUGUCCUAGAGAAGUCCUAAGGAAGAAGAUGGAUUGCGCUGUCAGGAGUCCAGCUUUGUCUCCAGUGGCUCUUGAUUUGUCUGUUUACUGAUUGGAAAAAUGGUUCCAAACUAACCAACAGUCAAAAAAAAUAUGAGAUUGGUCAAUAUUCUGAGGAGAAUUGCUCAUCCUGUGGGAGUUUGGUCCAUCUGGAAGGGAAUUUCCAAGGAGGUUCCAGAAAACCUGCGUCGCCUAUUCACAAAAUGAUGAGUUCAGGGACAAGUUGUGGAGGACAAGUUUUUUUAAUCUCAUGUGACAUCAUAUUGUAAAGAAAAAUCAUGUAUCACACUUUGUAUCAAAGAUUCCUACUGUCUGAAUUUUCUUGGUUUUUUGUUGUAGUUAUAGCUUUACAAACGUUUGAGAUUGGAAAUAAUACAAACCAACACUUCGUAUUAACAUCUUGUUAAAACUUUACAACUUACUCAUUUAAAAUGUGAUUACCAGUGUAAAAAGUUUAGCCUCAUAUUCUAAUGUUAAUAUAAACUGUUUCCUCAUACACUUUGAAAUGUAACACAUUCCAUUAAAUUUGUUUUGGUUAAUGUUUUUGGAUGUGUUGCUAAUUGCUAAUAUGGUCACAAAGGCAGUUUUCAUCCUGAAAUUGAAGCUCAUUCUCUCAUGUCGUGUGACUAAAAGUGGAACAGUUUCUUUUUUCCAGUUCCUCUUUUGGUAAAAUCUGUUUAUCAAGGAAACUAUUAAAGUUUAUCUCUUACAGGUUUUUACGGUGGAACACAUUCCAGACAAAACUGCCUCGUGUUGUUAAUGGAAUUGACGGCUCUUGUCAGUUUCAUUCUAUGCUCAAUUUUAGGAAUGUUAUGGCAUUUUACGUCAUAGCAUAAGAUGCUAAUUUCUUUUAGCUAAAUAAACGUCGUGUAAGAGAAGUAAAUAUUCAGAAGCAGAAUUUUGUAUUGAUUGACAGCUAUUGGAAUGUAAGAGGAAAUGUUAUAGGAUUUUACAAUUAUUUAUUAAUUAUGAUAUUAUUUAAAGUCAAUUAUUACUGUUAUUCAGAGUAAAACAUUCAGUGUAUUUUUUAAGCUUGUAUGUUAACUAAAAAUUUACUGUAAAACUCCCAUCUCUAGUGACACUGUGUUGCUUUCUAAAGGUUUCAUCACUGUAAUCUGAACCUAAAGAUAAGGAAUGUAGUUUUAUCUCUUAAAGGAUCUAGAACAACAAGUUUUCCUAGAUCUAGAACAAUACCUUAACCAAGUUCAGAAGUUGGCCAAGGUGUUGUAAGGAAUCCCUGAGCAAUAUGUGUGAUUUGUUCAAGUUUUGGAACGAGUUCAAGAUAGAUGUAGGAAAUAUUAAUUAUUUUGUGGCUAAGC
RNA transcript from Gambusia affinis (western mosquitofish), 2675 nucleotides. It is a transcript of the gene named RNA-binding protein 4B-like, with no coding region annotated. Lineage: Eukaryota; Metazoa; Chordata; Actinopteri; Cyprinodontiformes; Poeciliidae. The record is from RefSeq and is a predicted model, not a curated record. The transcript has 7 exons.